This 467-nucleotide ribosomal RNA is filed under the name uncultured bacterium. Its description in RNAcentral is "partial 16S ribosomal RNA". It matches the Rfam family "Bacterial small subunit ribosomal RNA", at positions 28 to 507 of the family's 1533-position model. The record is from RNAcentral.
GACGAACGCUGGCGGCGUGCUUAACACAUGCAAGUCGGGGGGCGGGGUAACCCGUCACCGGCGAACGGGUGCGGAACACGUGGGCGACCGGCCCUGGCGUGGGGGAUAGCCGGCCCAACGGCCAGGUAAUACCGCAUACGACGCCCGCAUGGAAGCGGGCGGCGGAACUCGCACAAGGGGCUAGGAGGGGCUGGGGGCCUGUCAGCUAGGUGGUGCGGUAACGGCGCAGCAAGGCGAUGAGGGGUCGCUGGUCUGAGAGGAUGGCCAGGCACAGUGGGACUGAGAGACGGCCCAGACUACGACGGGAGGCAGCAGUGUGGAAUAUUGCGGAAUGGGCGAAAGCGUGACGCAGCGACGGUGCGUGGAGGAUGAGGCUCUUCGGGGUGUAAAGUCCUGUUGCAAGGGACGAAUGCCCCGCCUCCGCGGGGUUGACGGUACCGGGUGAGGAAGCACCGGCUAACUCUGUG